GACGAACGCUGGCGGCGUGCUUAACACAUGCAAGUCGAACGGAAAGGCCCUGCUUUUGUGGGGUGCUCGAGUGGCGAACGGGUGAGUAACACGUGAGUAACCUGCCCUUGACUUUGGGAUAACUUCAGGAAACUGGGGCUAAUACCGGAUAGGAGCUCCUGCUGCAUGGUGGGGGUUGGAAAGUUUCGGCGGUUGGGGAUGGACUCGCGGCUUAUCAGCUUGUUGGUGGGGUAGUGGCUUACAAAGGCUUUGACGGGUAGCCGGCCUGAGAGGGUGACCGGCCAAAUGGGAAUGAAAAACGGCCCAAAAUCCAAAAGGGAGCAACAAUGGGGAAAAAUGCCAAAAGGGGCGAAACCAGAAGCAACAAACCCCCGUUCCGGAAAAACGCCUUUCGGUUGUAAAACCGUUUUCCCCUUUAACAAACCGUGAUGAAGGUAAAUGGUAAAAAAAACACCGGUAAAUUAAUG
This 467-nucleotide ribosomal RNA is filed under the name uncultured bacterium. Its description in RNAcentral is "partial 16S ribosomal RNA". It matches the Rfam family "Bacterial small subunit ribosomal RNA", at positions 28 to 507 of the family's 1533-position model. The record is from RNAcentral.